Long non-coding RNA from Tympanuchus pallidicinctus (lesser prairie-chicken), 7371 nucleotides. RefSeq lists it as uncharacterized. The record is from RefSeq and is a predicted model, not a curated record. NCBI's taxonomy places the organism in Eukaryota, Metazoa, Chordata, Aves, Galliformes, Phasianidae. The transcript is spliced from 12 exons.
ACGAACCAACAAGGACAAAGUAAGAACUACAUCAUGGAACUGCUGCCAGCUUUUGGAAUGAACUUUGUGCCAAACUCUGCGUUGUUGCUGAUUUUCACGUGAUGGUUGUGGAAACACCCGGUUUUAUCAGAGCUGGCUUUGCUGAAGAUGCCUUGCAGGACUGCAGAAAGGGAAGCCCAGCUCUCCUCCAGCUCAACUCUGUCGCAUCUAGUACAGCUGAAACUAUACUAAAGGAAGGACAUGUCCAACUCCCUCUCCUGGGAGCAAGCUGAUGAGUGACAGUGUCAUGAAAUGGUUGCUGGCUGACCUCUGAGCUUGUGAGCACUGUGGCUCUGGACAGACGGAUAUCACAUCUUGACUGCUCUUGAGAUGUCCCAAAGUCUUCAGUUCAAAAGCCCCCUGAGCCCAGGGCUGCGUGCUACACUGAAACGUUCAAUCCUGCAUUUGAAUAAGCUGAAUCAAGCCAGCCAUACUGCUAAACAUAUGCAUGGAGACUUCCUACAUAAAUGAACGUUGCCCUUGUAGUCCAGUUGUUACUGCUUUGUGCUGAUAGUGAAAGACCCCAAAGAGAAUGGAGUAUAAGAUUUAAUGCUGUAACGUCAGCCAUCAGUCUGCCUCUGAUGUAUGGCUCCCGGUGAAUAUUCCAGCCCUGUCCGUCGUGCGGGAGCCCAGCAGAUGGAGCAGUGUUCCUGUGCAUGAGGAGGUGUGGGGCCGCAUCCGGAGCUGCGCUGUGCAGUCGAGCCGAUCUGCCCCAGUGCAUCUAUGAAGCACGGAAUAAAAGGCUCACUUGAUGGAACUGAGCUCUGCUGCUGUGCAAGCACAGCCCGGCCAGGUUAUGUGCUCUGUCUGCCCUUAACCACCUGCCCUGAAUCUCAGCUGGUGCACUCAGUGACUGCUAUCGCUGGCUGUGAAAGAACUCCUGUUCUGGGCUCAGUAUAUAGAAGCAAACCCCAACAGCACACAGAGGCAACAUUCCUGUAUGACACCCCCAUCAUCAAGCCCAGAUGCUCUGGUGGAGUGCAGAUGUCCCACAGAGGUCCAAUCUAAUGCACUGAAGUGACAGAGAAUCUGCUGCAUCCUCAGCAAUGAUAAAUAGCAGAUACACGAGCUGCCUGGCAGAGAAGCUGACAACUCUCCUGGGACUGACUGCACUGUCAAUGUUCCUUGAUGGGUCAUUGGGGUUUGGGUUCUAGUUAACAUCCCGCCCUCUUCAAGCAUCUCCUCUGGCUGCAGAGCCACUCCCUCGACCUUCUCAGUUACCGCUGUCAUCUCUGGUGUCUUUAAUUGUGCCUGAUGGGGUAUGAGCUUCAAUGCUAAUGUGCAUGGGUAAGAAGAUGAGGAAAGCUACUUUGCGAGGAUUCUCCUUUUGCUGCUCUGCAAUGAAACAGAGCAGAAAGAAGCAAUCUGAGUCCGGCCAAGGUUUUCCUUAAAUACCAACCUUGCUGUGUGGGAGGCUCUGAAUCAAUUGUAUUGUUUUGCUUCGGGGAAAGACUUGAACCUCAUACUUCACAUGGACACAAGUAACCACGUGCUUUUUAGCAAAUCACUGAAAUGAAGGCAAUCUUGUGGAAACACUGAAAGGUUAAGUAAAAACCCUGAGCACAUGUGCUUUAGUGCUUUGCUCUACACACACUACAAGGGCAAUUUUCCAACUGUAAAAAACAAACAAACAAAAAAAGACAAAAAAAAAAAAAAAGUAGAAAAGGUAUCCUGAGCAAUUUCCUUUUUAAAGGAUAAGAGACAAAAAUCAACCACAAGCAGAAUGAUGGCUGUACAGAAAAUACAUUUGCUGUUCAGAGAAAUACACAGAUUGUACUCUGAAGAGCUGAAAUCUUGAUGGACUUCCAGUUUGGCUCCAUCUAAGAUAAAAUUCUUGGAAAGAGAGUACAUUACAAAGGAGAUACUUGAAGGAAGGGUUAGAAGUCCUGCCAAAGACUUGGAGAACUGCUGUUUGCAGUCUGAUAUGAAUCCAGGCAAGAACCCACGAAUGCGUUUGGCUGCAAUUUCACUUCGUUUUUAAGUAGAAAAAGUUGCCCGUUAUCCUUCCAGGUAGCAGAUAAUGUCACCAGUUAUACACCUGGAAAGAUGAGGUAAGAGGGAUGGGGGGGGAGAGUUCUAAAAGCAUUUCCUAGUGAGAACUGUCUACAGGAGAAAGAUGUUUUGCACAGUGUCCUGGGUAAGAAAUGGCAAUGUCAUCACCUGUGGUAAUGCUGAAGGAAACAUUAUACUGUGUGCACAGCUUGCCAUGCAACAUUACUCAUUUGGAAAAAGGCUAUUUUUAAUCAAGAAAAAGCACUUUAAUCAAGGAUAGAGUCAGUGAUUCAAAAAUUUCAUGCAGGUGCAUGUAUUACUUGACUGAAAGCAUUUUCCCCAAAGGUCAGAGCUGCAGGGAGAUGUGCAUGUCCCAUUCCAGCAGUGGAGAUAACCUCAGGGUGCCCAUAUCAGCCUGAUGUAUUCUGGCUCUUGGCUCAGGGAGCCUCAAAGUCAGAACUUCCCGUGCUAAUCCUCUUAACUUUAAACAAAUAUUUGCCAUAGCCUAGGCACACUCAGUAAGAUUCAUGGCAUGCCAAAAAAGACACGUUUAUGUUAGGGAGGUUGAUUCAGUUUUUCUUUGUAUUUUUCCACCCGCGCAAAAGAAAUCAGCUGCAGGUCGUACAGCAUACGCAGAGCUGGUUCAGCAAACAGCAGGGACACAAGCAUGCCCCCAACUCCUGGGGAGCCCUUCCCUCCUUCUCACAUCUCUGGGAGCUGCAGGAAGAGCUCACAAUGGCCAGAACAGAGAACAGAUUUCUGCUUGGCAGGUGAAUGAGCGUAACCCAACAGCUCCUAUUGAGCAAACCUCCCCGCCUCUCCUCCCCACUCCCCAGCCCCACAACUCUCUGAAAUUAAAAAACAACACUCAAUCAGUGUUUCCUGGAGUAGCUUGUGCUCUGAGUCACUUUCUCCACUGACUGCGGGAAGAUUUUAAGAUUUCAAAUGUCAGAACUGACACAUGCUGCACACUGGAGGCAAACCCCUGCGGUUCCAAAGCCUGCUUGUGUACUUCCAGGAGCACUCAGGGACCCCUUGCCUGCCAGCAGACUUCCCUAGGACAGGGCUGUCUGCCUUCUCUUGGAUGCAGCUCCAUCCCCAGGACACUCUUUUCCUCCCAGGCACCCCUCUGAUGCUUCUUUAGCUUUCAGCCUGGCACACACAAGGCUACCUUGCCUCCAAGAUUGCCUCCCCGGGAUUUAAGUGGCCAAUACCAUCCAGUAAGUAGGCACUAAAAUAGGUUGAGGAAUAAAUUGCUCUCAUUUAACAUUCACUCUGAAAAAUAUGGCUGCAUUUAUUAUGCAGUAUAUUGUUUUAUAUACUGUUUUGUUAUAAUAAGUCAUGUUUAAAAUGUCAUGACAUUUAAAUCAACAGCAAUAAGAGGGAAAUACUGAAAAAGAACAAGAUCAAAAAGGAUUUGAAAAAAUCCGAGCAAAAUCUUAUGGACCAAACUCCAUGGUUAAAAUAAAGUGUUUGUUCCCAGGUGUGGUGGGCAGAGAGGUGCCACCACCAUUGGGGUGGUUGUGGUUGGCUAUGGCCAAGAGGCUCAGGCACUUGAGGCAAUGCCACCACAGUGCUCUGUGUCCCCCUCCUGGUUUGUCUGGGCUGUCCUUUGCCAUCGAGCCACCACAAUACCCUGAGUACGUCCUUAGAACUGGAUAAUGCCAUUUGUCUCAGUGAGGAGAGUUAUUUCAAUGCCUGUGCUAAGUUAUAUGAAUGAACUUUAUAUAAUAUAGUAUAAAAGCUUACUUUAAUGUGGCUUCAUAGCCUUUGAGGAAACACAGAGCCUGUCAACCACCGGUGAUUUACAUGCAUAAUGGCAGAUUUUCACUACAAAGACUUUGAUGUUAAAAAAAAAAAAAAUAACUUGGAUCAGAGGAGCUACUGUGUUACUGCAGAUUUGUGCUCAUCUUUCUAUCAGAUCUGAACCCGUAUGGAGCAUCCCUUGCUGCUGCCUCGGUGCAUCCUCAUCCCCUGCCAAGGGGAACAACAACAACAACUGCAACAACAAAACAGAUGGUGAUGCAGUGAAACAUUAAACCCAGUCCCAAUACCUGAGCCAUACCAUGAAUAUUUCACUGAGGCAGAGGGUAGAAAAGACAACAAAAUGAUCUUUUCUAGCAUCUUAAGGGAUGUCUAACCUUGUAAUUGCUAUAGACACAGAGGACACACAAGAUGGAGACCAAGACUACUUAAAAGCUGUGUGUAUUUUCUAAAAAUUAGUAACUCAAUGUUCCCACUACAACCUGCCAAUAUGAAUGACAUUCACUCUUGCUCUGAGGAAUGAAAGAAACUCUGAGAGACAGACUGCAUUAAGAAUCUAUUGAUAUUCCACUGACCUAGUGCCACACGAACCAGACAAGUUUUGUCAAGGGCAAAUGCCCCAGAGUCUGAAAAUUCAUUUCUUAAAGUGGCAGCAAAGGAAAAAAGAAAUAUAUAUGUAUCCUUUACUGUCUAGAAUACUUACAAAAUCAAGUGUAGGCUUGCAUUGUCCUGAUACUGCAACAGCAGUAUAUGACACUAGACCCAGAUACGUGAACAGAACUGAAGAUAUCAGAUGGUCAAUAACCUCUUCCAGUUUUCCAAGCAAGUUACUACUGCCACAAAGCUUAAAUGGGAUGUUCCCUUAAGAAGUAUCACAUGGGUUUUAACCUAGUUUACUUCAUCUUACUACACAAACUUCACAAAGCUAAGUCAUCCAUGGUCAAAGACUUUCCUUUGCAAGGGAUGGAUGCAGAAGUCAUGAGCUGUGCAGGAGGUUCCCAUGGCACCUUGUACUGAUGGGGCACCCAGAACAAAGGAACUGAAAGGAGAGUGAGAAAUGACUCAGUACUGUCCAGGCAGGCUUCUUCAUCCCCCAACAUAAACCUCUGAACUCAUACACUAAAUCAAAUGAGAACAAAAAGUCACAGGCAAGGGACACAACACAGAAGCAACACAAGAACCCCUAGUUGUUUGGUUUUUUUCUUAGUGAAGCUGAGCCUGGGAUAGCAGUGGCUUUUUCAAGGGGUGGAGGAGCGCAGGCUGCCUUUAUUCGAGGAGGAGGAAUAUAUUUGCUCCUCUUUCAAGCUGCAAUGCUGGCCCUUCUGUUCAAAUUCUUUUUUCUGGGGGGAGGGAGACCACAGCUAUACCCACGUGAGCCCCAUGCUGAAGAGUGGGGAUGGCAUUAUAGCCUGGGAAUAUAAAAUGCUGUAAUAGAUUUCAGUGAACGGACUGAAUUUGGGGAAAAUUAAUUUUAGCUGGAUACAUUGUGCAGUUAAUUAAGGCUGAUAGCUUCCACUAGAAGAAAAGAGUUUUUGAUGAAAAUACAUUGAAAAGUCUUAUUAAACUGCCUAGUAAAAAAUCAGUUGCCACAGCCUGUGCUGCAUCUUCCCAGACACCUCCAUGUUUCUAUACAGAAAUCCUGUACUGAUACCAUUUGCAUAACAAUAUUUAAUAUGCAGAUUUGAGUAUCAUUGCUUUUGGACAGAAUUAAUGUUCCAACCUUUGAGCACACCCAUUUUAGAAAUAUUCAUCUUGAAAACUCGCUGGAACUUAUAUGCAGCACUGGUGUGAGCGCUGCUCCUGGGAGCCUCAUGGGUGAGGUGGGCACGUAAACAUGGAAGGGUAGAAGGCAGAGAGGACGCGAAGAUGGGAAAAGCAACCAAAAUACUCCCACUUUUCAGAGAUGAAGUAACUUUUUGUUUUCAGUUCAUUUUGUUCACGCCUUAGGAAAUGAUGAGAUCAACAGAAAGGAAAGCAAUUUCCAGCCGAAAUGAACAUAGCUCGUGGCUCAACUGAGAAGAGGUGCAUAUUUUUCCAAAAGCUCCAUUCCAAUACGUGCAGAUCAAAUACCCCGAGAACAGACCUAGCAUGAGCUUGCAUCAUGUCAGUUUGCCAGUCUGGGAAUUUGCAGGUUUUCUACUUGUUCCUGAGGAAGCCAAUUGGGAAAACAGGUUGUACUGCCACAUCACGUGGUGGAAUUGCAAAAUCAUUUUAUUCAUUUAGAUACAAUUCAAAGUCAGGCCAGGGUAUCUUGGUAGCAGAACUACUACAGAAGGCCUACUACUCCAUUCUUCUCUCCCAUAAGCCUUUCCCUUUUUUAGCGAGCCUUACAUCAAAACUCCCAGGAGGCAUAUUCUGUGUUCCCAGGGCUUAUCCUGUGCAUGUUCUAAUGUGUACAAAGGUGCCCAAGCUUUCCUCAUUCACACCCGUAAGCAUUAUUAUAUUACAUUUAAUUGCAGAAGACAUUGUCUUAACAGCUUUAUUUCUUAUAUGACAUCUCGUGAAUUGCCUUUAAGAAAAGCCAUUUACAAGACUUCUCUAUAUAUGUAAACUAGUAUUCUAAUGUCACAUUCUUGUUUGCACGUAACCUUGUAGUCACGUCAGCUAAUCAAAAUGCAAAAAGCAAGUGGCCCUUCACAGACUUCAGUUAGGAAACAGUGGCACGGGUUUUCAUAAAACAAAAGUGUUUGACUGAUACUGUGUAAAAUCUGUUCUGCUGGAAAACCGGCAUCUUGCCCGUCAUCUUCUACAAAGUUCAGUAUUUUUGUCAGUGCUCAUCUCCUUGACUUCUUAAUUGUCUGUGUUCACUGACUGUAUCAAAUGGAGUUUUCCUUUGCCUUUGCUCACUAUGUAUUACAUCUUUUAAUCGGUAUAUAUAAUUACUUACCACAAUCUGCCAUGCCAGAUUUUCUAAGCAUUAGUCUAAUUAACUUAAGCUUGAUAAUUAUGUUUCAGAUAUCAUAACAGUACACACAGAACUUGCAGAUUAUGCUGUUAGCUUAGCUGUUUCUGAUAAUGAUUUUCUCCUAUUCUUAUUUUCACUUUUCUUUUUGUACAGGGUGGGAGCACAGGGGGCAAUAGAAGCUGCUACUCUGUCUAAGCAACUGGAGGUUUCCAUGAAAGCAAAAUCAGGCUGUUUAUAAUAACAAAUCAUCAAAUAAGGCAACACAAAUGAGAACAGAUCCAAAAGGAGAGGAUUUCAUCUACUUAUAAAAGUAGAACGUCAGUGAAAGAAGAAACCUGAGCUUCCAACAGCACAAAUCAUAGAGGAUUCAGACACAGUCUUGCAGCACUUAUGGCCUAUUACAGAAGUACUCAGACUUUCCACAGGUCUCCAGCCCAAGCUAUUCUAAUUAUACGCCUGUUGGCGACAGCAUGCCACCAGGGAGGCAAUAAAUAAGUGAUAACAUGCAUGGGACCUGGCACACAUACCUAGCCAGCACAGAAAGAUCAUCCCUCACAAAGUGAUGUGGGCCAUCUGGGCAUAUGAAAUAUGCAAGCCUGAGACCCCGAGUAACAGUAAAUAGAUGCAGAGAACACUUAUGUCACAGUAAUAAAGGAAAACAAAAGAAAUCA